UAGGGAAUCUUCCACAAUGGGCGAAAGCCUGAUGGAGCAACGCCGCGUGUGUGAUGAAGGGUUUCGGCUCGUAAAACACUGUUGUAAGAGAAGAAUGACAUUGAGAGUAACUGUUCAAUGUGUGACAAUAUCUUACCAGAAAGGAACGGCUAAAUACGUGCUAG
Molecule: ribosomal RNA, 164 nt
Filed under: uncultured bacterium
Lineage: Bacteria
Description: partial 16S rRNA
Rfam family: Bacterial small subunit ribosomal RNA
Source: RNAcentral